GUCCACGCUGUAAACGAUGGGCACUAGAUGCUGCGGGUAUUGACCCCUGCGGUGUCGUAGUUAACGCGUUAAGUGCCCCGCCUGGGGAGUACGGUCGCAAGAUUAAAACUCAAAGGAAUUGACGGGGGCCCGCACAAGCGGUGGAGCAUGUGGUUUAAUUCGACGCAACGCGAAGAACCUUACCUGGGUUAGACAACAGUGGACAUCCUCAGAGAUGAGGCUUUCCCUUCGGGGACCGCUGGUUCAGGUGCUGCAUGGCUGUCGU
Molecule: ribosomal RNA, 265 nt
Filed under: uncultured bacterium
Lineage: Bacteria
Description: partial 16S ribosomal RNA
Rfam family: Bacterial small subunit ribosomal RNA
Source: RNAcentral